GACGAACGCUGGCGGCGUGCUUAACACAUGCAAGUCGAACGGAAAGGCCCUGCUUUUGUGGGGUGCUCGAGUGGCGAACGGGUGAGUAACACGUGAGUAACCUGCCCUUGACUUUGGGAUAACUUCAGGAAACUGGGGCUAAUACCGGAUAGGAGCUCCUGCUGCAUGGUGGGGGUUGGAAAGUUUCGGCGGUUGGGGAUGGACUCGCGGCUUAUCAGCUUGUUUGUGGGGUAGUGGCUUACCAAGGCAUUGACGGGUAGCCGGCCUGAGAGGGUGACCGGCCACCUUGGGGAUGAGGUUAGGGCCCGGCUCCUAACGGAGGGAAGAGGGGGGAAUAUUGGAACAAGGGCGGAAGCCUGAUGCAGCAACGCCGCGUGCGGGAUGACGGCCUUCGGGUUGUAAACCGCUUUCGCCUGUGACGAAGCGUGAGUGACGGUAAUGGGUAAAGAAGCACCGGCUAACUACGUG
This 468-nucleotide ribosomal RNA is filed under the name uncultured bacterium. Its description in RNAcentral is "partial 16S ribosomal RNA". It matches the Rfam family "Bacterial small subunit ribosomal RNA", at positions 28 to 507 of the family's 1533-position model. The record is from RNAcentral.